AGGUAUGCUGGCUGUAUGGGAAAGGCUGAUAUUCUUAUGCCUACGAAUUUGUAAUGUCACCUAACAAGAAUAUGGACAUAGCUUAAAGAGAGAUAUUUUUAGUUCUCCUUAGAAAAUAAAAAUAAAUAGGAAACAAGAGCAUCAGUGCAAAAUCAAUGUGGUUUGCCUGAAAUUUUUCCGCAGAAUUUAAUUUUAAUGUUAAAUGAUACCUCUUUCAUCAUCAUAGUAGUUGCAUAUUACAAUUGCUACUCACUCAUCAAGUCACCAUUUCUGUCAUUCCCAUAUUGAUUCCAUAUUAUUUUGAUUUGCAGUUACCAGCCCCAAUGACACAGCUCAGCAAUGCAGAUCUCUCUUCAUGUCGAAGUGAUCACAAGCUUAUUUGCACCAUAUAUUUAUUAAGUUCACAUUUAUUAGUGAUCUUUGACUAAAUGCUUUUUGGCAUUUUUUCAUGACAAUUACAUCCAGCCAUUUUUCCUUCCAAGUCCAAACAGAUUGUACUGCUCCACUCUAUACUCACAAAUUUUCAGAUUACAUGUAUACAUUGGCGAAAAUAAAUGAGAAUUACCUGUUUUACUUUACCCCGUGUUAAAUGAGCUGUUCCUUGAGACGGUGAUGUAAUAAAAGAUGAUAAUUAUGCAUUGCCGUUGUUAGCUAUUGUCUGCAAAUUCAUGAGAAAUUUGGGCACAAGGUGUCCGAAGGCAUCUGUAAGUACCUUUCCAGCAGCUGCUUCAAAUACUUUGGACGGAACGGAAGCUAAGGAAGUUGUUUGUAUGUGAGCAUGCUGAAAAUUGUUUUAUCACCUCAGAUUAAAAAAAAAAACCCCCGCCUCAAAUCCAAGUUGGUUUUUACCAUCUUUGACUGAACUAUGAUACUAAACAUAGACCCUUUGUAAUGGAUUAAUGCUGACUGAAAUUUUUAACAGCUACUCUUCCUAAUUAUAAGAUAUUUAGGCUUUUCUACAUACGUUGUUUUUAUUAUGCAUUUAGAUAUACAUUAUAUCUAAAUAUAUAGUAAAGACAAUCUAAAAAGCCAAAAUGUCUUUAAUUUAGAAUGGAAAAAGUAAAAUAAAGCAUUUUCAUGAAAACACACGAAAACGUUAUGUAGAUUUGGAAUAGCAGUCACUAUUUUUCAGCCGGGACAUUCACGGGGAUGUGGGCUUUCCACCCGGGAAAAGCUUUUAUUAAUUUUCAAAACAAUUAGCAUUGCGCAUCUAGAAAAGUCAAAACAUAAGUAUUUACUAUUCAGGGAAAAGCGUUCGUUUUUCAAAACAAUUAGCAUUGAUGACACAGCAAUCUCAACACUGGAGUUCUAAUUGACUAAUAAUUUUAGAUGCUAAUUAUAACUGAAAACAGCCCCCGUGUAAGUGAUACGAUAAUAAAACAACAGCGUUACAGGUUCCAAACUUGUAUUAUAUCUUGUUCUAUAAAAUCUGGCCAAAUUGUGAGGCAUGACUAAUCAAAUGAACUGUGAGAAUCUGCGUUGGAGCACAUGUUUUUACAAACACAAUACCAAUCUCAAGUAUAUUUGCUUGCCAUUCUCACUGACUACAAAGAUUCGUCCAGACGAUUUGAGCCAUCGACCAAGAAAGUACACAAAUAAUCACAGUACAGGUCUUUUUAGAGUUUUUAUGGCGAUGCCCUCAUCUUUCAAUUAUCAUUAAAAGACCAAGUAUGUUCAUUACAGCACUGGAGUGGCAUACCACUCAGGAAAAGAGUUUAAGCCAAGAGAACCCAACGUAACCAUUCACCAGCUAAGAAGACUAAAGGGAACGCCAAAACAGAUAGUUUGAUGAACCACCUCUGGGAACCUCAAACACCAAACAGCCGCAGAAACUCAACUAGCAAAUAGGCUUCUGAAAAGCAGGCUUCAGCUGAUGCACGCUUCAACCAUCUCCUGAGAGGCAGCUUCAACUGAUGCAGGUCCCCAACGUUCCCAGCAACUCCAAUUUCCUCAGGCACGACUCUUGCUCAGCAGCAAGCUUUCCUGGCAAGCAAGGACUUGGAGCUGCCUACACGGUUACACCUCACAUAUUAGGCAAAUCAUCAUUAGCAAGAAAAUUGUAAGCACAUUUCUCCAUCUAUGUUCUGCGAAAUAAAAUAAAUAUGGACAACUUCAUUCAAGAACAAUACCCACCAGGAAAAAAAAUGCAUAUACAUUGUUCAAAAUGUUGUUAAAUGCUUUGUGCAUAAAGCUCAGUAAAGCCUGUAUAUCUCAUUCCAAUGUAGGACCCCAAGUUGGUUCUCCCUCAAAAUCAGGGACUUGGAGUGAUCUACGUCUAAUUCAAAGGGCGAUUCAUCAUUGCCUAGUAAAAGAUUAUCAUAUAAUAUAACAGACUUGCCAAUGCAACCAAGGAAAUUGAAAGCUGAUGCUACUCAACUUAUCAUAACAAUAACCAUCGAAUAUUAAACAAGCUGAGGACAAGUAAUCGUAGUUGGUUGAUUUAGUGAGAGAUUUUAGAAGCAAUGCCACGACAAGAAACAGUAAGCUUCCACGUUAAACUCACCAAUAAUUGUUAUGUGCCUCCAUGACUGGGCUGCCUUGAGAGUGAACAUUCUCAAGAAACCAAAGGUGAGGAGAGGCACAUUGACAUAUAUGAAACUACAAAUUCGAUCUCUCAACCAAAAUCUCUCUUCAUGUCACAGCUCGGCAAUGCAGAACUCUCUUCAUGUCGAAGUGAUCUCUAGUUUAUUUGCACCCUAUAUUUAUUAAGUUCACAUUUAUCAAGUGACCUUUGACUAAAUGCUUUUUGGCAUCUUUUUCAUGACA
Molecule: long non-coding RNA, 2766 nt
Filed under: Sorghum bicolor (sorghum)
Lineage: Eukaryota; Viridiplantae; Streptophyta; Magnoliopsida; Poales; Poaceae
Description: long non-coding RNA (SBIC_LNC011499)
Source: RNAcentral